UUUCCCCUUCGGGGGACAAAGUGACAGGUGGUGCAUGGUUGUCGUCAGCUCGUGUCGUGAGAUGUUGGGUUAAGUCCCGCAACGAGCGCAACCCUUAAGCUUAGUUGCCAUCAUUAAGUUGGGCACUCUAAGUUGACUGCCGGUGACAAACCGGAGGAAGGUGGGGAUGACGUCAAAUCAUCAUGCCCCUUAUGAUUUGGGCUACACACGUGCUACAAUGGACAAUACAAAGGGCAGCGAAACCGUGAGGUCAAGCAAAUCCCAUAAAGUUGUUCUCAGUUCGGAUUGUAGUCUGCAACUCGACUACAUGAAGCUGGAAUCGCUAGUAAUCGUAGAUCAGCAUGCUACGGUGAAUACGUUCCCGGGUCUUGUACACACCGCCCGUCACACCACGAGAGUUUGUAACACCCGAAGCCGGUGGAGUAACCUUUUAGGAGCUAGCCGUCGAAGGUGGGACAAAUGAUUGGGGUGAAGUCGUAACAAGGUAGCCGUAUCGGAAGGUGCGGCUGGAUCACCUCCUUUCUAAGGAUAUAUUCGGAAC
Molecule: ribosomal RNA, 541 nt
Filed under: Staphylococcus aureus MM66
Lineage: Bacteria; Bacillati; Bacillota; Bacilli; Caryophanales; Staphylococcaceae
Description: bacterial SSU rRNA
Rfam family: Bacterial small subunit ribosomal RNA
Source: RNAcentral